RNA transcript from Triticum dicoccoides, 2018 nucleotides. It is a transcript of the gene named probable methyltransferase PMT10, with no coding region annotated. The transcript is spliced from 8 exons. NCBI's taxonomy places the organism in Eukaryota, Viridiplantae, Streptophyta, Magnoliopsida, Poales, Poaceae. The record is from RefSeq and is a predicted model, not a curated record.
AAGCCUGUCGAGCGCCGCCCGUACGCUGCACCCGCAGCCACGCACUCGAGGCCGAGCUCCCGAGCGUGCCGCCGCCUCGACCUCGCGACCCGCCGGCGACCGGAUCCUCGCCGGAGAUGAGUGCCGCCGUGCCCUGCUCCCUCCUCUCUUCCUCUGUCUCCUCUCACCUCGCUCAUCCCCCAAUCUCUCUGUCCCCAGGACGAACAGGAGCAUGCCAUGGCCUCGGAUCCGCGCCGCCGUCGCCGGAGAACGUCGCCCGCCACCGGUUCUUCGACUACAACUACCGGAUCAAGUUGCCCCGCCUCCGAUCUACCCGUUCCCGGCCACCCCAACCUCGCCUCGUCAUUGGGCGCGCAGAGAGACGGCCAUGGCCGCCCGAUUGCCGAGCGCCGCCGGCCAAGGUGGCUGCCCGAUGCACGAGCGCCGCCGGCCAAGGACCCGCCGGCGUCCAGACCCCCUCCACGCCAUCCCCAUCUCGCCGGAGACCUGCUCCAAGUCUGGCCGCCCUCCAAACAGUACGCGGAGACAGAGGCCAAGGAUGACCGGCAACUCUUGGAGGAGGACAACCUCAAAUCAGUCUGGGAAGUUGUCGUCGUUUUCCUCGGGCAGCAAUGCAAAAUAUUGUAAUGAUACUUAUCAACGUUUUUAUUUGGUUGUGCAGUACUCGCUAGGUGCUUGACGAAAUUCUCAUAUGAUGCAUGUGGCAAGGUUCCUAGAGGAUAAUGUAGAUUAAUGAUUCCAUGGAGAGCUGCCAGAAUCUUCAAUUGGAGGCAAUUAAAGACGGACCUCACCGGAUUGGAUUUGUCUAGCAUUCCAGCUAAGUUUCAAGGUAGCUUUAAGACUCCAUGCAAACAAUCACUGAUUAGUAGGUAGUAGGCAUGCAGUUUCAGUUAAACCGAAGCUUAAUCCACAUACAUUGUUCACUGGAGGUAUCCGUGCCAUUACACUCAUCCCUCUGUGUGAGUGACACAACUAUGUACUGCUAUAAAAACACUGGAGUGCCCAACAAUAUCUUAUAAUGGCUUUGGUACGUGGCAGUAUGAGGCCUGGGAUAAUGUUUACUUGUGAUUCACAAAAUGGAAGUAUGUGCUAUAUCUUUGUAUGAAAUUAAGGAAACAUCUCAUGUUCAUUGUCGCCUGGUUUAUGGUAACUGGUGUUGCCCCCUCCCUUGGAAUCUCUCAGAUCUAUGGCAUAGCCAGUUCUCCAUCCCGCAGUUUUCGCAUGUUGCAACGCACUGGCUCUUUUGUAGGACCAUCGUCGACAUAGACAAGUUCUGCUUCAAGGACGAGACAUAGAAGAAGGCUCGACAAGAGGAAGGAAGCAGGUGUGGUUUAGCAACGUACCUCAUACAUGGUUGGUUGCUGACAAAGGAGGGCAGAAUUGGAUUACAAAGGCUAAAGAUGGUACCAUCUGGCUCUCGCACUAGAGUUUUUCUGGAUGUUGGCUUUGGAGUAACAAGUUUUGGGCCAUACUUAAUUUCACGUGAAUUUGAGCAUGGUGUUCCUGCAAUGGUGGCAACUAAUUUAACACCGGCUAUUAUCCAAUGUUCCCGCUGUAGAAUAAAUUCGACAUGUGAUGGUGAGCUGAGCACAGCCUGUUUAUAAGCAUGAAGAGGCCCAACAUGAGGCAUGGAAAGAUAUGCUCCUUAAUACUAUCAUAGAUGGAGGACCUAGCUCUCAAACGGACCAUGUUGGGAGAUUGUGAGGAAAAUAUGUUUCUAUGUGGAGGAAGCCUUUUAUAAUUAACUCAUGGUACAUGAGUCGUGAUCCUAGGGUCAAACAUCCACUUUGUGAUACUGAUGAUAAUUCCAGAUAAUGUCUGGUAUUUUCAACCCCACCUGGCAUGCUUUUAAUUGUUAAGCCUCAAUUCAAGGACUAAAUUCAGAAUAUGUAUUAAGAAAGUAGUCCAUACUUUUUUUAGAUUUGUUUUGAACAUUUGCAUAAUUAUGCAAUUAUCUCUUGCAAAGUGUAGUCUCAUGAUUUCGACUUAUUUUUUUGUUGAUGAGUGAAUGUGUGAUA